AGAGAGGCUGUCAUACAUCACGGUUGCACAGCAGCUGGGGGAGCCGGGAUUUGAACUCAAGACUCCAAAGCCCUUUCUCCUUGCCUUGCCCAAGAUGCCCUCUUAUGAGAUCGGCAGGCAGCCUUGUUAUCAUUCAGCAGCUAAAGCUGUGGCCAGAGGAAGGUGGAAAGGUGAGGACACACUGCUUCUCCUCACAGUCCAGCGAGUCCCUGCCCGACUCCUGCCCUGCCUCAGGGGAGGGAAACACAAAAAGGCAGAUCCUUUCCUGGUGCUGGACACACCCCGUGACGUGUCCCAGGGGUACAUGGAUGCCUCUGUCAUGAGUGAGCCUUCGAGGCCGGGCGAGCACCAAGCGUCUUGCAGUGCUGAGACACACCUGGGGCCAGGCUCCUCCUUCAGGGAGGAAGAAAGAUGUGGCAAGAUGAGUAAUGAGGCCGGGCAGGGAGGAACCUGGCUGGUUUCAGUUAACGCAGGUUUGGGGAAGCACCCAGCUAGCUUCAGUUCAGGACACCACUAGGCGAGGAGGGCACCUCUCUUCACGGUUCUGUUCCAUCGUGAUGUCUGUCCUAAGCAAAUGCUGUCUAUGAUCCUUCUGCAAUCUUAGUGCCCCAGAAGUGGCUAGGGAUCCUUGAUUUGGCCAUAAUGUCCUGCAGAUUGGACCUUAUUUCCAUCUCCCCAGAAGCUUUUUGGAAACAAGAAAGGCCAUUUCAGAGUACAGGUGCAAGAGGGCCACAGAAGAGCCUGAGGCUGAUGCCAAGCUGAUGGGGUGAAUCUAGUCCACAUGACCCUAGAAGGAAUAUGUCUGACUUCCUGCUCCAAGACUAUGGGAGGGGAAGGAGGCAGGAGGUAGAAAAGGGGGAGGCAGUGUCUGCCUGGCUGGGUUUUAGGGCAAGGGGCAGGAGGAGGGUAGGGUACAGGCCAAGGCUAGCACGACAUCAGCCCUGGCUGGACAGAGGUGCUGCUGCCGGCAAGAACCCACCCUCAUCCUCAUCCUCAUCUGUUGCCCACUAAAAACUCCAUGGUUUCCACAGAAACAAAACGAGUCCCAUCUGCAGGUGGGGCAAUCCUCUUGUCCCUCUUUCUGCCUCACCCUCGUUUCUCACUGCCUGUCUCCUCCCUCUCCCUUCUUCUUUUGCAUCUCUGUCUUCCCCUGAACCUCUUCCACACCGCCAUUCCCUUAUCUCCACUCUCCUUCCUCCCCCUCCCAUCCUGCUCAUGCCCAUUUGAAAUGGGAGCACACACUGGGCACACUCUGCAGUGCCCCCUCAGGCGCUCCCAACCCUGGCAGCUGUGCCAUAAGCUGCCAAUUCGUCUCAAUAUUCUAUUUUACCAUUCUGGCAAUUUUCAGCUAUGCAUGAGAUCUCUCAGAAUAUUGCCUUUGCUUUACUUCUAGGUGUGGCAUUAGGACUAAGUCUGGGCCAGUGAAAAGUCAGCAGGUAUGCUGUGUGCAACUUUCUUUUUUAUUUUAGAGAUGCGAACUCAAACUCCUGACUCAAGCAAUCCUUCCACCUCAGCCUCCCCAGAAGCAGAGACAACAGGCCGGUGCCACCAUGCCCAGCAUAGUGUCCAACUUUUUAGAAGUGACCACAGAUAAAGGCAAUGUGCCUCAGUCUUUCCUUUCCACCAUCCUUGUUAGCAGGAAUGUGGACAUGAUGGCCGGAGCUCAUGCAGCCACUUUGGCAUAUGAAGUCUAUGUCUCAGCCAGUGUAUCUACUUCCCAGGAUCUGCUCAAGUGUGGUUCCUCUGCUCAGUACCACAUUAAACUUCUGAGAGGAUCACCUGACAUCACCACCUUCUUGUAAACCAUGAAAGAGUUUUUAUUUUUUUAAAUGAGGUUCAUUGAGUUUCAUGCCAUCUGGUGGCAGAGAUUACUGUGCCAUGACAUUUCACCUGCCUGGCCAGGCUGGGCCCAUGGUGGUGGAUGUUCCUGACUUCCCAUGUUGCUUGUAGGCACAACCCAACAGCACAUUGCUUCAUGCCUCGCGUCACAUGCCUCCCACCACCUGCCUCAGGGCUUCCCUGUUACUGUGAAGAGCAAGAAACCCGGGGAUCUACUCAUUCAGGUAGACACACGGCCUUUCCAGACAAGGUCUGUUGGGCUGAGAUGGGCAGGUGGAGAGUCCCCCUGACUCACACCCGCUCACUUACUGGCCCCAGGUCCUGUGUUCACAAUGCAGAUGCUCCUGCUGCUGUUUCAGGAGCUGCUUUUCCCAGCUAGGAGAUGCCAGCUGGUGCCACCUGGAAGUGUGGAGUCCUGCUGCCCCGUGAAGCCAACUUUGACUAAUGGGGGACAUGGCCAGGCAAAUUUUUCUCCCUUCUUCUCAUAUGUAUUAUUCCAAGCCCCAGUGGGCCUUUCUAGAGACACUCUGUGAAACUAAACAAUUAGCUGCAUUUGUUGAAAGCUGGGGCCGGCCUCGUAAAGCACCCCUUUGUAUUCUACUCCUUCCUUCUCGGCCUCACCUCUUUCCC
RNAcentral lists this long non-coding RNA (2469 nucleotides) under Homo sapiens (human). RNAcentral describes it as "non-protein coding lnc-LY86-11:1". Lineage: Eukaryota; Metazoa; Chordata; Mammalia; Primates; Hominidae. The record is from RNAcentral.